This 460-nucleotide ribosomal RNA is filed under the name uncultured bacterium. RNAcentral's name for it is "partial 16S ribosomal RNA". It matches the Rfam family "Bacterial small subunit ribosomal RNA", at positions 338 to 795 of the family's 1533-position model. The record is from RNAcentral.
CCUACGGGAGGCAGCAGUGAGGAAUAUUGGUCAAUGGACGAGAGUCUGAACCAGCCAAGUAGCGUGAAGGAUGACUGCCCUCUGGGUUGUAAACUUCUUUUAUAUGGGAAUAAAAUGUUCCACGUGUGGGAUUUUGUAUGUACCAUAUGAAUAAGGAUCGGCUAACUCCGUGCCAGCAGCCGCGGUAAUACGGAGGAUCCGAGCGUUAUCCGGAUUUAUUGGGUUUAAAGGGAGCGUAGGUGGAUUGUUAAGUCAGUUGUGAAAGUUUGCGGCUCAACCGUAAAAUUGCAGUUGAAACUGGCAGUCUUGAGUACAGUAGAGGUGAGCGGAAUUCGUGGUGUAGCGGUGAAAUGCUUAGAUAUCACGAAGAACUCCGAUUGCGAAGGCAGUUCACUGGACUGCAACUGACACUGAGGCUCGAAAGUGUGGGUAUCAAACAGGAUUAGAUACCCCUGUAGUC